This 322-nucleotide ribosomal RNA is filed under the name uncultured eukaryote. RNAcentral describes it as "partial 18S ribosomal RNA". It matches the Rfam family "Eukaryotic small subunit ribosomal RNA", at positions 1470 to 1796 of the family's 1831-position model. The record is from RNAcentral.
CCCUUAGAUGUUCUGGGCCGCACGCGUGCUACACUGAGUGGAUCAGCGGGUCAGGUUGCGCGAAAGCGUUUCCUAAUCUUUAAAUCCGCUCGUGAUGGGGAUUGACGGUUGCAAUUUUCUGUCAUGAACGAGGAAUACCUUGUAAGCGCGGGUCAUCAUCCCGCGCUGAAUACGUCCCUGCCCUUUGUACACACCGCCCGUCGCACCUACCGAUUGAGUGGUCCGGUGAGGCUUUGGGAUCUGAGCGGAAAGAGCGUUUCGCUGUUUCUGCUCGGAAAACUCAGUCGAACCUUAUCAUUUAGAGGAAGGAGAAGUCGUAACA